GUACCAGUUUGAUCAUUUCAAUAUUGGAAUGUAGAUCGAGGAUAAAUAAAGCAGACGUGAUGCUAUAAUCAUGAGUGAUAAUUCCACCUAUUGAGUAAAAUCGUCAGACAUUUAAUUAGGUAGAGAAUCAAGAUCAGGUUAUAUUGUGAAGGGCUGAAGAAUGGAUUAUGAUUUGUGAGAAAAAGAACUCAUCCUCGUUGAGAAAGAGAUGCUACUUAAUUAAUAGAAACACUGUUGAUGAUAGGAGUUGCAUUAGUAGUUGACAGGAAUCAAUUAUUAAAAACUCCUAGAUCUGAAUGUCCAUGCAACUUGAAUAAGAGAUAUAUUAGAUAGAGAAACAUUUACCUUUUCCCUAUUAGUGCUGCUGUUUUCAGAAAUUGACUCUCAUAUCCUCCACCUGGCUUUAAUAAGGAGCGGCAGAGCAAUACAUUACAUCUAAUAGGUGGAGGAUGGAAAACAAAGGUCCACGUACACUAUUCACAACGUAAACGCUCCACGCGUCCUGCCGCUAAAGAUGCAUAUACCACAUCCAAUACAUUACAUCUAGUAGGUGGAGGAUGGGAAAACAAAGGCCCACGUACACUAUUCAGAAGGUAAAUGCUCCACGCGUCCUGCCGCUAAAGAUGCAUAUACCACAUAUCAAGGUAUCAAUGAGGGAGUAUAAGUUAGGCAUAAAUCUAUAGCGACAUAACUUAAUUACAAGUUUAAGAAAGUGCUCGUUAGGUUGAUUGCAGCAAAUGCUCAGCUUAUCUGAUUCAGAAAAUGGCAAAUGGCAAAUGGAAAAUGUCAUAGUAAUAAGGAGAGCUAUAAACAAGAUGAGUUCAGCUGAUUAAUGGAAUACGCAUGGUUCAAUUGUUAAAAUAAUAUCAGCUUGAGCAUACUGAACUCAGGAGAACUCAAGCUGUAGCUCGAAUUGGCUCAUUACACAACAACUACAGCUUGAUAUGUGCAAAUACACUUGGCAAGACAAUAAAAGCACAUCACAUUUUUAGGCUUCCCUAAAACUUUCCACAUUAUCAACUUUUAUGAUCUUGAUCACAAGGCAAAAUAAGCAUCCACUGAACACAUAUGAACUUGAUCUCAAAACCUGCUCAUAAUUUAAACAAGUAAGCAAAGUCGAACAUAUUCAAGUCAAGUCAAGUUGUUUCUGUUGAACUCAGCUUAUUCGUAAAGCUAUUGAAAUCAUGUCAAGUACAUAAAGCUUAGUUUUCUGGAGUCAAGUUCAUGAUGCUCAAGUGAUGCAAUUGAAUAAAAUGAAACAACUGCUUAUCGAAUAAGAUCAAUAAAAAAUUGAAAUACAUGAGAAGGUCAUGAUAUACCUAGACUGAAAUGUUGAACCUAUAUAUACAAUAACAUAAUGAAAGCAAAGUGAGUCAUCAAAAAGCUACCUGAAUGAUGCAUGAAUAAAAAGGAAUAAGGAGGGGUGUAAAUAAAGAAGGAAUGUGAUAAUUAUAGUCUGAUGCAAAGCAUACCGA
Molecule: long non-coding RNA, 1475 nt
Filed under: Nicotiana benthamiana
Lineage: Eukaryota; Viridiplantae; Streptophyta; Magnoliopsida; Solanales; Solanaceae
Description: long non-coding RNA (NBEN_LNC004056)
Source: RNAcentral